GAUGAACGCUGGCGGCGUGCCUAAUACAUGCAAGUCGAGCGAACAGACGAGGAGCUUGCUCCUCUGACGUUAGCGGCGGACGGGUGAGUAACACGUGGAUAACCUACCUAUAAGACUGGGAUAACUUCGGGAAACCGGAGCUAAUACCGGAUAAUAUAUUGAACCGCAUGGUUCAAUAGUGAAAGACGGUUUUGCUGUCACUUAUAGAUGGAUCCGCGCCGCAUUAGCUAGUUGGUAAGGUAACGGCUUACCAAGGCGACGAUGCGUAGCCGACCUGAGAGGGUGAUCGGCCACACUGGAACUGAGACACGGUCCAGACUCCUACGGGAGGCAGCAGUAGGGAAUCUUCCGCAAUGGGGGAAAGCCUGACGGAGCAACGCCGCGUGAGUGAUGAAGGUCUUCGGAUCGUAAAACUCUGUUAUUAGGGAAGAACAAAUGUGUAAGUACCUAUGCACGUCUUGACGGUACCUAAUCAGAAAGCCACGGCUAACUACGUG
Molecule: ribosomal RNA, 497 nt
Filed under: uncultured bacterium
Lineage: Bacteria
Description: partial 16S ribosomal RNA
Rfam family: Bacterial small subunit ribosomal RNA
Source: RNAcentral